RNAcentral lists this ribosomal RNA (301 nucleotides) under uncultured bacterium. RNAcentral's name for it is "partial 16S ribosomal RNA". It matches the Rfam family "Bacterial small subunit ribosomal RNA", at positions 509 to 807 of the family's 1533-position model. The record is from RNAcentral.
CAGUCGCCACGGGAAUACGUAGGUGGCAAGCGUUGUCCGGAAUUAUUGGGCGUAAAGGGCUCGCAGGCGGUUUCUUAAGUCUGAUGUGAAAGCCCCCGGCUCAACCGGGGAGGGUCAUUGGAAACUGGGAAACUUGAGUGCAGAAGAGGAGAGUGGAAUUCCACGUGUAGCGGUGAAAUGCGUAGAGAUGUGUAGGAACACCAGUGGCGAAGGCGACUCUCUGGUCUGUAACUGACGCUGAGGAGCGAAAGCGUGGGGAGCGAACAGGAUUAGAUACCCCUGUAGUCCCUGUCUCUUAUAC